This 424-nucleotide ribosomal RNA is filed under the name Verrucomicrobiota bacterium. RNAcentral describes it as "Verrucomicrobia bacterium partial 16S ribosomal RNA". It matches the Rfam family "Bacterial small subunit ribosomal RNA", at positions 355 to 776 of the family's 1533-position model. Lineage: Bacteria; Pseudomonadati; Verrucomicrobiota. The record is from RNAcentral.
UGAGGAAUAUUGGUCAAUGGACGCAAGUCUGAACCAGCCAAGUAGCGUGCAGGAUGACGGCCCUAUGGGUUGUAAACUGCUUUUAUGUGGGGAUAAAGUGCGUGACGUGUCAUGCAUUGCAGGUACCACAUGAAUAAGGACCGGCUAAUUCCGUGCCAGCAGCCGCGGUAAUACGGAAGGUCCGGGCGUUAUCCGGAUUUAUUGGGUUUAAAGGGAGCGUAGGCUGUCUAUUAAGCGUGUUGUGAAAUAUACCGGCUCAACCGGUGGCUUGCAGCGCGAACUGGUCGACUUGAGUAUGCAGGAAGUAGGCGGAAUUCAUGGUGUAGCGGUGAAAUGCUUAGAUAUCAUGACGAACUCCGAUUGCGCAGGCAGCUUACUGUAGCAUAACUGACGCUGAUGCUCGAAAGUGCGGGUAUCAAACAGG